This 468-nucleotide ribosomal RNA is filed under the name uncultured bacterium. RNAcentral's name for it is "partial 16S ribosomal RNA". It matches the Rfam family "Bacterial small subunit ribosomal RNA", at positions 28 to 507 of the family's 1533-position model. The record is from RNAcentral.
GACGAACGCUGGCGGCGUGCUUAACACAUGCAAGUCGAACGGAAAGGCCCGGCUUUUGUGGGGUGCUCGAGUGGCGAACGGGUGAGUAACACGUGAGUAACCUGCCCUUGACUGUGGGAGAACUUCAGGAGACUGGGGCUAAUACCGGAUAGGAUCUCUUGCAGCAUGGUGGGGGUUGGAAAGUGUCGGCCGUGGGGGAUGGCUUCGCGGCUUAUGAGCUUGUUGGUGGGGUAGUUGCUGUCCAAGGCUUUGAAGGAUAGGCGGCAUUGGAGGGUUGCCGGCCACCUUGGGACUACGAUACGCCGCAGCAUCCAACGGGCCGCAGCGGUGGGAAGUAUUACGCAGUGAGCGCACGCCUGAUACGACAACCCCGCGUGCGGGAUGCCCGCCUUCGGGUUGUGAACCGCUUUCGAAUGUGCCGAAGCGUGAGUGACGGUAAUGGGUAAAGAAGCACCGGCUAACUACGUG